This 945-nucleotide long non-coding RNA is filed under the name Mus spicilegus (steppe mouse). Its description in RNAcentral is "lncRNA (ENSMSIG00000018848.1)". Lineage: Eukaryota; Metazoa; Chordata; Mammalia; Rodentia; Muridae. The record is from RNAcentral.
CACGCUCACCGACCACAGAGCUGCUUGUCCAAGCCACAGUGUCAGACUUAAACAAAACAAAACAAAAUUCCUGCUUGGAUCAGAGACUUGGCUUCUGGGACCGUUGACUUAUCAGAAAUUUGCCUCCUCUCUGCUUCAUAACGAACCCCAGGAAGAGAGAGGGACCAGGGAUCUCAAAGAAAUAUUUGUCCUUGUGGCACCGACUAGGUGGAAGAAAAGUCUCAACAUGACAAGAGGGGAUAUAAACUGAAGUUCAUCAGCACAGUGAAGUUUUAUUGUAUUUCCGGUCCCUAAAAGAGAAGCCGGCAGCCAGGCAGACUCCCUCCUUAUCUCCGAGUUUCCACGCCAGGGACACACACGUGGCCAAGCGGACACUUGCCUUCGGGAGCAGGGAGGGAGGGAGCCGGCUCCGACCUACUCUCCCUCACUGGCUCAGCCAGGUCCUCAACGUCUCCACUUCUUUGUAAAUGCGGAAAAGAGUGGCCUACCUGGGGCUGUCCAGCAGCUGUGAAACCAGAGUCCUAUCUUAUGCCAGCAGAGUGACUGUUUCAGCCUUAUUGUUUGUGCCCUAGAAUUCACGGUGCCUUCUAACCCUGACUUUCUCCAUCAAUUUUUUUUUUCUCAGUUCUACUUGGCUCCACUCUCCUGUCUACUCCCCUGUCUCAAGGCUGGGGUUGCCUUAGAGUUGGAUAUCUGAGAGCUGCCUGGGAGUCUGGGUAACCCUGGAGCCCAGGGACUGGCCAGAUGCCCCUCAAGGCUGCUGCUGGCUCUGUGCCCAGGAAAGAAGUUCUUUGGAGUGCUGGUGGGAAGAAGGACUUGCCAACGAAUAGGCUAACUUUUGUUCCUAAACCCGUUCCCUGCUUGAGGCAGAGGAAAUGUGCAAGGGGCCCAUGAAAGAGGCCCUGACCGGAUGGGACUCCGGCGCCAGGCUGAUUUAGAUUCGGG